This 498-nucleotide ribosomal RNA is filed under the name uncultured bacterium. RNAcentral describes it as "partial 16S ribosomal RNA". It matches the Rfam family "Bacterial small subunit ribosomal RNA", at positions 28 to 523 of the family's 1533-position model. The record is from RNAcentral.
GAUGAACGCUAGCGGCAGGCCUAAUACAUGCAAGUCGAACGAUAGAAGAGGGCUUGCCCUCUUCGAAAGUGGCGCACGGGUGCGUAACGCGUAUGCCACCUACCUUAAUAAGGGGGAUAGCCCGAAGAAAUUCGGAUUAACACCGCAUAAAAUCACAGUACAGCAUUGUACAAUGAUCAAAUAUUUAUAGGAUUAAGAUGGGCAUGCGUGACAUUAGCUAGUUGGCGGGGUAACGGCACACCAAGGCGACGAUGUCUAGGGGAUCUGAGAGGAUGACCCCCCACACUGGUACUGAGACACGGACCAGACUCCUACGGGAGGCGGCAGUAAGGAAAAUUGGUCAAUGGAGGCAACUCUGAACCAGCCAUGCCGCGUGCAGGAAGACGGCCCUCUGGGUUGUAAACUGCUUUUAUUCGGGAAUAAACCUCAUUACGUGUAAUGAGCUGAAUGUACCGAAGGAAUAAGGAUCGGCUAACUCCGUGCCAGCCGCCGCGGUAA